Molecule: ribosomal RNA, 253 nt
Filed under: uncultured bacterium
Lineage: Bacteria
Description: partial 16S ribosomal RNA
Rfam family: Bacterial small subunit ribosomal RNA
Source: RNAcentral
UACAGAGGGGGCAAGCGUUGUUCGGAAUUACUGGGCGUAAAGGGCGCGUAGGCGGCCCGCUAAGUCGAACGUGAAAUCCCCGAGCUCAACUCGGGAACUGCGUCCGAUACUGGCGGGCUUGAAUCCGGGAGAGGGAUGCGGAAUUCCAGGUGUAGCGGUGAAAUGCGUAGAUAUCAAGAGGAACACCUGAGGUGAAGACGGGUUGCUGGGCUGACACUGACGCUGAGGCGCGAAAGCUAGGGGAGCAAACGGG